Molecule: unclassified non-coding RNA, 836 nt
Filed under: Hevea brasiliensis (rubber tree)
Lineage: Eukaryota; Viridiplantae; Streptophyta; Magnoliopsida; Malpighiales; Euphorbiaceae
Source: RNAcentral
AAAUAAUUAAAAUUUGGGCAUCUAACGAUUUGCAUUUGUGUCUAUAUAUAACAUGUACAUGUAAAAGGCCCUUUGCCACCUGCAGCAGCUACACCAAUAAUCCUUCUUCCAUAUCCAUCCAUAAAGGCUUCAGCUUAAUUAAUACAUGGCAACUGCAACUGCAACUGCUUUCCUAAUUCUUCUACUGAGCGUUCCGGCAGCCUACGCUACGCAGUACGUGGUGGGUGACAGCGCUGGAUGGACCAAUUUUGGAUCAGAUUACGGCACCUGGGCCUCUGGUAAAACUUUCACCGUGGGCGACACUCUUGUGUUCAACUAUGAUAGUUCCACACACAAAGUAGCUGAAGUACCCCAAAGCGACUACAACAGCUGCAGCGCAAGCAAUGCCAUCCAAACCUACAGCGAUGGAAGCACCACAAUAUCCCUUUCCAAGACUGGUUCUAUGUAUUUCAUCUGUCCUACUGCUGGUCACUGUAGCAGCGGCAUGAAGUUAUCUAUCAAUGUUGUGGCCGCCAGCACCACCCCUGCCCCUUCAUCAGGUUCCACAACCCCUGCUCCUCCAUCUGGCUCCACUCCCCCCUCUUCUGGCACCACACCCACCAAAGCAUCACCUCCACCGCCGGCCAAAAAUGGGGCUGCUACCAUUUUUUAUAGCAUGAAUAGUUUUGUUCUGCUUAGUUUCUUGCUUGCACUUGCAUUGAUUGGCUAGGGGAGAGGCAGUGCUGUUAUUGUUCUUCUGAAUUUGUGUGAUUUUAUUGGACAAGAGAUCGAUUAUGUACGUAUUUUUCUGUUUUUAUAUAUGAUCAUAUUUCGUGAAUAAUUGAUUUUUAUUGAGA